AAAUCACAGUCUUCAGAUAUCUUCUCUUGCAUAUACUUUUGUAAUUUUAAACUUUUUCUUUUUAUCUGCGUUGUUGCUAACUUGAACAUGUUUUGUGCUUAAUCAGAUGUGGAUUUUGAAUGGCGAGUACGAAAAAUCUGGUCCAUCCAUUGUCCACAAGAAGUGCUUCUAAGGUCUGCUGUUAUAGGCAAGUCUUUGAGAUGUGGCUAUCAAAGAAAGGCGAUUAAAAUCAUUGUACCACUGAUACUAUUUCAUGUUUCCAGUGCAAACCUCUUUUGUAAGUUAACAAACUUGAUUUCUAAAUAUGUUUUGGACUUUACUAGUUGUUAGAGUACUGAUUUUGUAAGAUUUGUAUAAAGAAAAUCAAAUUAGAAAGAUAACUCUAACUCACGAUGGUUGAAUAAGCUCGAAGAAGUGGAUUUGAAUUUCAAAUCGUGUCUUUUCUUUGAGUGUGCGUGCGAGAGAGAGAGAGAAAUUUGAAGUGUUGUUUAGAUUUGUUGGAUUAGUCUAAAGGGAUUCUAUCUAUAAAUUUGAAGUCAUUUGAUGGAGAUCUGAUUAGAUGAUUUUGAACAACAAUUGCAACUGAAGAUGGAUAUAUUAUUUUCGUAGUUAGCAACA
Solanum lycopersicum (tomato) is the source of this 618-nucleotide long non-coding RNA. RefSeq lists it as uncharacterized. Lineage: Eukaryota; Viridiplantae; Streptophyta; Magnoliopsida; Solanales; Solanaceae. The record is from RefSeq and is a predicted model, not a curated record.